ACGAGGAGGGCUAACGUUGUUCGGAAUCACUGGGCUUAAAGGGCGCGUAGGCGGCCGUAUAUGUCGGGGUUGAAAUCCCUCAGCUCAACUGAGGAAUAGGCUUCGAAACUGUGCGGCUUGAGUGUAUCAGGGGUGUGCGGAACUCCAGGUGUAGCGGUGAAAUGCGUAGAUAUCUGGAGGAACGCCGGCGGCGAAAGCGGCACACUGGGGUAUUACUGACGCUGAGGCGCGAAAGCUAGGGGAGCAAACAG
This 251-nucleotide ribosomal RNA is filed under the name uncultured prokaryote. Its description in RNAcentral is "partial 16S rRNA". It matches the Rfam family "Bacterial small subunit ribosomal RNA", at positions 525 to 775 of the family's 1533-position model. The record is from RNAcentral.